This 556-nucleotide ribosomal RNA is filed under the name uncultured Pseudomonadota bacterium. RNAcentral's name for it is "bacterial SSU rRNA". It matches the Rfam family "Bacterial small subunit ribosomal RNA", at positions 35 to 568 of the family's 1533-position model. Lineage: Bacteria; Pseudomonadati; Pseudomonadota. The record is from RNAcentral.
GCUGGCGGCGUGCUUAAGACAUGCAAGUCGAACGAGAAAGCCACUUCGGUGGUGAGUAAAGUGGCGCACGGGUGAGUAACGCGUGGGUAAUCUGCCCUUUCGUCUGGAACAACUGCGGGAAACUGCAGCUAAUUCCGGAUAAGACUACGACGACUCCGGUCGACGUGGAAAAAGGUGGCCUCUCCUUGGAAGCUAUCGCGAAGGGACGAGCCCGCGUUCCAUUAGCUAGUUGGUGGGGUAAAAGCCUACCAAGGCUCCGAUGGAUAGCUGGUCUGAGAGGAUGAUCAGCCACACUGGGACUGAGACACGGCCCAGACUCCUACGGGAGGCAGCAGUCGGGAAUUUUGUCCAAUGGGGGAAACCCUGAGACAGCAACGCCGCGUGAGGGAUGAAGGCCUUCGGGUCGUAAACCUCUGUCAGGAGGGAAGAAAGCUUCAUUGCAAAUAGUUAUGAAGUCUGACGGUACCUCCAAAGGAAGCACCGGCUAACUCCGUGCCAGCAGCCGCGGUAAUACGGAGGGUGCGAGCGUUGUUCGGAAUCAUUGGGCGUAAAGCGG